This 19-nucleotide non-coding RNA is filed under the name Arabidopsis thaliana (thale cress). The record is from RNAcentral. Lineage: Eukaryota; Viridiplantae; Streptophyta; Magnoliopsida; Brassicales; Brassicaceae.
ACCCGUCGGCUGUCAGCGG